UACGUAGGGAGCGAGCGUUGUCCGGAUUUACUGGGUGUAAAGGGUGCGUAGGCGGCUCUGCAGGUCAGAAGUGAAAUCUAUGGGCUUAACCCAUAAACCGCUUUUGAAACUGUGGAGCUUGAGUGAAGUAGAGGUAGGCGGAAUUCCCGGUGUAGCGGUGAAAUGCGUAGAGAUCGGGAGGAACACCAGUGGCGAAGGCGGCCUACUGGGCUUUAACUGACGCUGAGGCACGAAAGCGUGGGUAGCAAACAGG
Molecule: ribosomal RNA, 253 nt
Filed under: uncultured bacterium
Lineage: Bacteria
Description: partial 16S ribosomal RNA
Rfam family: Bacterial small subunit ribosomal RNA
Source: RNAcentral